AGGUACAUUUCUUUUGGCUUUUGAUGUGCAGCUCUACAAAACCAAAGGGAAGCAGCUGUAUCUGAACUAUUAAGAGAUAAGGAUGAGUAAAACCUGGAACAAUUUACUAAGAUAAUGAAGACUCUCCCAAGUGGUGCUUCUGAGCAAACACAGGGCAAUGAAAGGAGAGGCUAACAUCACUUAAUU
This is a long non-coding RNA of Gopherus flavomarginatus (Mexican gopher tortoise), 186 nucleotides long. RefSeq lists it as uncharacterized. The transcript has 3 exons. NCBI's taxonomy places the organism in Eukaryota, Metazoa, Chordata, Testudines, Testudinidae. The record is from RefSeq and is a predicted model, not a curated record.